UUAAGGUUAAGUAAUAUUGAUCAUUAAACAGAACAAGUGUUGCCUGACGCAGUUCUUAAUAUCACCAGCAACGUCAACUUUCAAAGUUAAGGUUAAGUAAUAUUGAUCAUUAAACAGAACAAGUGUUGCCUGACGCAGCUCUUAAUAUCACCAGCAACGUCAACUUUCAAAGUUAAGGUUAAGUAAUAUGAUCAUUAAACAGAACAAGUGUUGCCUGACGCAGCUCUUAAUAUCACCAGCAACGUCAACUUUCAAAGUUAAGGUUAAGUAAUAUUGAUCAUUAAACAGAACAAGUGUUGCCUGACGCAGUUCUUAAUAUCACCAGCAACGUCAACUUUCAAAGUUAAGGUUAAGUAAUAUUGAUCAUUAAACAGAACAAGUGUUGCCUGACACAGCUCUUAAUAUCACCAGCAACGUCAACUUUCAAAGUUAAGGUUAAGUAAUAUUGAUCAUUAAACAGAACAAGUGUUGCCUGACGCAGCUCUUAAUAUCACCAGCAACGUCAACUUUCAAAGUUAAGGUUAAGUAAUAUUGAUCAUUAAACAGAACAAGUGUUGCCUGACGCAGCUCUUAAUAUCACCAGCAACGUCAACUUUCAAAGUUAAGGUUAAGUAAUAUUGAUCAUUAAACAGAACAAGUGUUGCCUGACGCAGUUCUUAAUAUCACCAGCAACGUCAACUUUCA
Cherax quadricarinatus is the source of this 684-nucleotide non-coding RNA. NCBI's taxonomy places the organism in Eukaryota, Metazoa, Arthropoda, Malacostraca, Decapoda, Parastacidae. The record is from RefSeq and is a predicted model, not a curated record.